CUUGAAGAAGAGUGCUGCCUUUGCACAAGGAAGACAGAUUCCACAGCAGUAUUUGGCAGGAACAAGAUAAAAAGAUACUGCAAAAAUGCAGUUCGUGCCGCUCCACAGGUCACAGAACGUGACCUGAGCUCUUCACCGUUGGCAUCCAAAGGUUUUCGUCGGGUCCUCAGGAGAAUGCCAUUGCACUGCUCUUUCAGCCAAACAGACCUACAGCAGUUUGUUUAUAUGCUCACCUCCUGAACACCAGAAAGAAUCGUGACCAAGAAGGUAAGGAUUUAUAGUCAUAGUUCCAAUUUAGGCUGAGUUUGAGUGGCUUAAUUUGCUUCAUUGAAAAAAAAGUCUUUUGCCGAGAUAUGAAGACUUUUGUAAGCAGAAACUGAAAAGGUCUCAUGGGGCUUUCAGUCUGUUGUUUUCCUUUGCCCUACUGGGGCUUUUCCUUAGGUUGUAAAUUCCAGCUUUCUCAUGUCAGAUUCCUCCUUUGUUGAGCUUUAAGGCAUUUCUGGAAUUACUCAGAAAAGGGACUUUGACAAUCCCCUGCCCUGUUCUUAGGUCAUAGAGCUGAUUUAUGGCUGGAGGAGGUUCUCUAAACAGUAGAUGAAAUAGGUGAAAUGUUAUCCAUUUAUUAAAGUGGGUUCAGGAGUUCCUCCUGCUGAUCAGGAGGGAGGUGUCCUAAAUAUAAUCAGCCCUCGAUGUAUCAACUUAUUGCUAUUUUGUGAGUUUUACUGCAG
RNAcentral lists this long non-coding RNA (728 nucleotides) under Microcebus murinus (gray mouse lemur). RNAcentral's name for it is "lncRNA (ENSMICG00000048585.1)". Lineage: Eukaryota; Metazoa; Chordata; Mammalia; Primates; Cheirogaleidae. The record is from RNAcentral.